UUUUUUUUUUACACUGAAUUUUUUUCUCAUUAAACUUUAUUUUUAAUAGGUCUCAAAAUUCUGUGACAGAUUUUUGGUCAAAUGGUUUCCAUUAAAAAGUACUGAUUUUAAAAACUAACUUAAAAUUGCUAUAGAAAAAAAACAAAUGAUACAUAAAACAUCCUCUUUUCCCUGUAAGUUUUUACAUUGCAUUUUUAUCAUUGACGAGAUUUUACCGUUUAACUUAAUUGGCCAGUUGAGACAAGCAGUUCUAGACCUUCCACCACUGAUUAAGACUGAGGUUGCAGUUAUUAGAGAUAAUAUUCAUUUAGCCUACUGAGUUUUAUGGGAAGACUUGAUGACCUUACCAGCUCCAGCAACUUUUCUCUCCACAGAUUUGAUGAUAACCACAGCAAUGGUCCAUUAGAAAUAACAAAUGGCCAAAUGAUCCUGAGAAUAGUCAGAGAAGCUCUCAUCAUAUAAGCUUUCCAAAAAGCAUAUCAACCAUGACAACAUCACCAGAUCUCAAAAAUUUAAGGCCAUCUUCCAGCUUCUUACCAGAAUGGUGAUUGAUCUUCUCCUUCAGCUCAACAAACUUUGCAAGCAACGUGAGCUGCGUGACAAUCCAGCACAGGUUCAUAGCCAGCACUGAUUUGGUGUGGGUGAUUCAGGGUAAUCACCUGAGCAGUGAGGCCAGUUACUUUCAUUGGUGGGUAAUUUUUGUUAUCACCACCCAACUGCAAUGAUGAACAUUUCUGACAGACACAUUCUGGACACUGAACUCCACACUCUCCCAAGGAAGAGCUUCAUUUAAACUUCAUGGUACAGGGUACCUGGGUGGCUUGGUGGUUGAACCUUCAGCUCAGGUCCUGAUCCUGGAGUCCUGGGAUUGAGUCCCACGUCAGGCUCCCCAUGGGGAGCCAGCUUCUCCCUCUAUGUCUCUGCUCUCUUUCUAUGUCUCUUAUGAAUAAAUAAGUAAAAUCUUAAAAAAAAUAAACUUUGUGGUACAUUUUAACAGACUUUUCUUCAGUUGUAACAUGGAUGAUAACAAAAAUGACCAUAAUGCCAUGUUUGAGAACACAGUCUCACAGAGACAGUAACAACAUCACCAAUUCUGUUGACAUCCUAGAAGAACAAACCCAAGGGUUGUCAAUUGGAUGGAUUGGUGGCAGAAUACAAUCCAGAGCUUCAAGCAGUAUUGUUCCACUGGCAUUGCCAUCUUUACUGGUGACUUUCCAUCACUUGAAUCAAGCCAUGUUUGUACUUGGCUCCAGCAUGUUGUCACUAUACCAACCAGAAACUGGCUCAAAUGCUACUGUGUCUGGCCCGCAGCCAGUUUUCCAAAUAUAGGUGCUGAUUUCCUUAAUGAUUUCCUUGAAAUUUCUCUGGAUGAAGAAUGUCUCAGUGGAAUCCAUUUAUUUUAUUUUAUUUAUUUUAUUUAUUUUUUAAAGAUUUUAUUUAUUUAUUCAUGAGAGAUACAGAGAGAAGGAGGCAGAGACACAGGCAGAGGGAGAAGCAGGCUCCAUGCAAGGGAGCCUGAUGUGGGACUCGAUCCCGGGUCUCCAGGACCACACCCUGGGCUGAAGGCAGACUCUUAUCUGCUGAGCCACCCAAGUGUCCCGGGAUCCUUUUUUUUUUUUUUUUUUUAACACCAAUAAUUAGUUGUUUCACAGCUAGUGUGUAAGCCAGAAGUGCAUGCUUAUAGGUCUGACCAUUUUCGGAUAUACCUGCUUCAAAUUUUCCAGCACCAGCAACAACAAUCAGGCAGAAAAUUUUAGGCACAGCCUGAUAUGUAUCUAGAAUCAUGUUUUUGAUAAAGUACCUGUAUCCUGGGGCAUCAAUGACAAAAACAUAAUACUUACUGGUCUCAAUUUUCCACAUGGAGUUAUCAAUGGUGAUCCCGUGCUCACAUUCAGCUUUCAGCUUAUCCAAAACCCAGGCAUAGUUGAAGGAACCCUCUCCCAUGUCAGUAGCCUUCUUCUCAAAUUUUUCAAUUUUUUUUUUCAGUCUCCUCACAUUUGUAGAUCAGAUGGCCAUAGUGGUGGGCUUGCCUGGAUCUACAUGUCUAAUGAUGUUGAUGUUAAUUUCUUUCCCUGUUUUGGCUUAGAUUUAGCAGUAGUUUUCAUGAUAUCUGUGUUCUGGAAGCAAACUCAUCAAAAAAGGUACACUAGGGCAGCCCGGUGGUUCAGUGGUUUAGUGCCGCCUUCAGCCCAGGGCCUGAUCCUAGAGACCUGGGAUCGAGUCCCACGUCAGGCUCCCUGCAUGGAGCCUGCUUCUCCCUCUACCUGUGUCUCUGCCUCUCUGUCUUUCUCUGUGUCUCUCAUGAAUAAAUAAAUAAAAUCUUUAAAAAAAAAAAAAAAG
RNAcentral lists this long non-coding RNA (2340 nucleotides) under Canis lupus familiaris (dog). RNAcentral describes it as "lncRNA (ENSCAFG00000051677.1)". Lineage: Eukaryota; Metazoa; Chordata; Mammalia; Carnivora; Canidae. The record is from RNAcentral.